UGUCUACAUUUGCGGGGAUGGGUGGGUAAAGAGAACCCUCGUGGGUUCGUACCGAGCGAAGCGACAAACGUAGGCUUGCCUGCGGCCCGAAGGGGCAUUAUCCCUCCCUCACCGACA
This 117-nucleotide small RNA is filed under the name Bacterioplanes sanyensis. Its description in RNAcentral is "RtT sRNA". It matches the Rfam family "RtT RNA". From Rfam's summary of the family: This family represents a bacterial cis-regulatory element known as RtT RNA. The exact function of RtT is unknown although it is thought that it may be involved in changing the cellular response in relation to amino acid starvation. Lineage: Bacteria; Pseudomonadati; Pseudomonadota; Gammaproteobacteria; Oceanospirillales; Oceanospirillaceae. The record is from RNAcentral.